GACGAACACUGGCGGCGCGCCUAACACAUGCAAGUCGAACGAGCGAGAGAGAGCUUGCUUUCUUGAGCGAGUGGCGAACGGGUGAGUAACGCGUGAGGAACCUGCCUCAAAGAGGGGGACAACAGUUGGAAACGACUGCUAAUACCGCAUAAGCCCACGGUGCCGCAUGGCACAGAGGGAAAAGGAGCAAUCCGCUUUGAGAUGGCCUCGCGUCCGAUUAGCUAGUUGGUGAGGUAACGGCCCACCAAGGCGACGAUCGGUAGCCGGACUGAGAGGUUGAACGGCCACAUUGGGACUGAGACACGGCCCAGACUCCUGCGGGAGGCAGCAGUGGGGAAUAUUGCACAAUGGGGGAAACCCUGAUGCAGCGACGCCGCGUGGAGGAAGAAGGUCUUCGGAUUGUAAACUCCUGUUGUUGGGGAAGAUAAUGACGGUACCCAACAAGGAAGUGACGGCUAACUACGUG
RNAcentral lists this ribosomal RNA (466 nucleotides) under uncultured bacterium. RNAcentral's name for it is "partial 16S ribosomal RNA". It matches the Rfam family "Bacterial small subunit ribosomal RNA", at positions 28 to 507 of the family's 1533-position model. The record is from RNAcentral.